GGGCCCGUAGCUCAGUCUGGUAGAGCAACUGGCUCUUAUACAGUUUCCGCAAAUUCGAAUCGCGUCGGGCCCA
RNAcentral lists this transfer RNA (73 nucleotides) under Candidatus Aenigmarchaeota archaeon ex4484_56. RNAcentral describes it as "tRNA-Lys". It matches the Rfam family "tRNA". From Rfam's summary of the family: Transfer RNA (tRNA) molecules are approximately 80 nucleotides in length. The record is from RNAcentral. Lineage: Archaea; Nanobdellati; Candidatus Aenigmatarchaeota.